CGAGUGGCGGACGGGUGAGUAAUACUUAGGAAUCUGCCCAUUAUGGGGGACGAACUAGAAGAAAUUCUAGCUAAUACCGCAUACGCCCUACGGGGGAAAGCGGGGGAUCUUCGGACCUCGCGCUAAUGGAUGAGCCUAAGUCGGAUUAGCUUGUUGGUGAGGUAAUGGCUCACCAAGGCGACGAUCCGUAGCUGGUCUGAGAGGACGAUCAGCCACACUGGGACUGAGACACGGCCCAG
This 239-nucleotide ribosomal RNA is filed under the name uncultured bacterium. Its description in RNAcentral is "partial 16S ribosomal RNA". It matches the Rfam family "Bacterial small subunit ribosomal RNA", at positions 92 to 334 of the family's 1533-position model. The record is from RNAcentral.